This 502-nucleotide ribosomal RNA is filed under the name uncultured Glomeromycotina. Its description in RNAcentral is "partial small subunit ribosomal RNA". It matches the Rfam family "Eukaryotic small subunit ribosomal RNA", at positions 591 to 1092 of the family's 1831-position model. The record is from RNAcentral. Lineage: Eukaryota; Fungi; Glomeromycota.
CCAAUAGCGUAUAUUAGUGUUGUUGCGGUUAAAAAGCUCGUAGUUGAAUUUCGGGAUUGGGAUAUAUCGGUCGUGCCUUUAGGGGCAUGAAUCGGUGUGUGGCCAAUUCUCACUUUCUGGUGAAUUGGGAUGCUCUCGGGUGUUUCAAUGAACUAGGACUUUUACUUUGAAAAAAUUAGAGUGUUUAAAGCGGGCAUUUUUGCUUGAAUACGUUAGCAUGGAAUAAUAAAAUAGGACGAUGGUUCUAUUUUGUUGGUUUUAGGACCACGUAAUGAUUAAUAGGGAUAGUUGGGGGCAUUAGUAUUCAAUUGUCAGAGGUGAAAUUCUUGGAUUUAUUGAGGACUAACUACUGCGAAAGCAUUUGCCAAGGAUGUUUUCAUUAAUCAAGAACGAAAGUUAGGGGAUCAAAGACGAUUUAUGUACGUCGUAGUCUUAACCAUAAACUAUGCCGACUAGGAAUCAGACAAAGUUAAUUUUUUAACGACUUGUUUGGUACCUUACG